CAAAUGCAAGUUAUUUAAUCAACAAUUAAUUUUAAAAAGAAUAAGGAAAAAUGGGAAAGGUUAAAGGAAACACAUCAACCCGCUCUGUGGCAGGAAACAUCACGAACAGUGUCUCUGGAAUGUCAGGGCAGUUCACAGUCUGUUCCUUGUAAGUCCCAGGCUUUCUUCUCCGGCCCUGGUUUUGCUGCAGGGAUGCUCUGGUGGUGGCCACACGCUCAGGCUCUAAGUGGUAGGACCCUUCUUUCCAGUGUCGGCCCCGCCCUGUCAGGAUUGGAUCCAAGCCUGGCCUGCAGAACCUCUUGGCUGAGGUGUCUCCCUGUGCUGGGCCCGCUGCCCAGGGUCCCCCUCGAUCUCCCUAGCUGCUCACCGCACCCAGCUCCACCACUCUGUCUCUGUUGCUCUGCCUCCAGCUCCCUGGGCUGCUUCUCUGGCCCCUCUGGCUCUGGUUGCUGCAGCUCUGCUCCCAGGACAGAUCUGCACUGCAGGCUGCUUCUGUGACUCUGCUCCCAGCACUGACCUGCUUCAUGGGCUUUUUUUCUGGUCCUUCUGGAUCUGGCACAGCUCUGCUCCCCAGCUUAGCUUGGGCCCCUGCUUUCUCCUUAGUUCAGCCCCACUCUGUCUGACCUAGGCAAAUCCAACUCACACAGAGGAUGGGACCUCCUUGGCCUCCUGACUCCCUGCUUAGCCUGCUCGCCCUGUCAUUCAGGCUGACCUGGAGCAUUGGCCUCUCCCCAUUGUUCCUGGGGGCUGUCAGUCUCAGGGUUCUGAUUCCCCACCAACCCUUUCCCCUUUUUAGUAUUGGGAGCUAGCAACUAAAACAGCCCCACUGAAUGUUAGUAAGGGGGCAACAGUCCCCUUCCAUGUAUUUGACACUGGUGCAAUUGCUGCUGGAUCCUCUAGCCAGUUCUGGUGACCACAAAUAAAGAAGGAUGUUGCUAAAUUAUAGAGGGCUCAGAGAAAAGCCACGAGAAUGAUUAGAGAGUUAGAAAACUUGGCUUUAAGUGGUUUUCUCAAGGAGCAAACUGUAUUUAGUUUAACAAAGAGAAGGUUAAGGACUGACUUGAUUAGUCUACAAUUACCUACACAGGGAACAAAUAUCUAAUCUAUCAGAGAAAGAUAUAUCACAAUCCAAUGACUGGACGUUGAAGCCAGGGCCGGCUGUAGGCACCAGCUAAGUAAGCUUGUGCCUGGGGCGGCGCUGCUGAAGGGGCAGCACUCCGGCUGUCGUUGGGGUGGAACUCUGGCAGCAGCCCCGGCGGCAAUUUGGCAGCAGCUCCUCUCCGUUGUUUCCCGCAGAGGCAAUUCAGUGGCGACUCUUCUGACAUGGGUCUUGCCGUCAGUGGCAAUUCAGCGGCAGCUCCCUCCGAUGUUUCUGUUCUCUCCGGCGGCGGCAUAUUCAUCAGGAUUCUGUGUAGCAUCCAUCAUCAUACCAUCUAAGACACCAAUCCUUCAAACACUUAUGUAUGUUCCUAAUGUUAUGCAUGACCUAUUGAGGUCCCUUCCAGUCCCAUGAUUCUAUAGCUUCAAUGACUGCCACAGAAACUGGUGAUGCUGUGAUGAAGAUGAGACAAACAAGAAGGAAGAAUGGAUGAUGCAGAAAGUGCAUAAAAAUUGCAAGGUGCUGCUGGCAUUCGCUGAUCAGCUCCACAUGAUCGAGUGGCACUUCUGGGCCCAUGAAAUGAGGAUGACGUGGUGCAACUAUAUUGUGAGGCAGAUCUGAGAUGAGCAGUAGUUGCUGUAGAACUUUAAAAUACAAAGACCACUUUCCUGGGGUUGUGUGUUGAGCUCGCCUGAGCCCUCCAUUGCAGAGACAUCAGAAUGAGAGCUGCUUUGACCGUAGAAAAGAGGGGCCUGCUUUGACUGUAGGAAAGAGUGUGUGCUCUAGAAGUUUGCAAUCCCAGGCUGCUAUCAGUCAAUGGACAAUGAGUUCAGUGUUGGAAAAUCCAUGGUGGGGGCGGUUGUCAUCCAGGUGUGCGUGGCUAUUAAACGUGUAUAGUAUUGUGACUCUGGGCAAUGUGCAGGAAAUAAUAGAGGGACUUGAAGCAAUGGACUUCCUGAACUGUGGUGGGGUAAUAGGCUGCAUAGCCUGAUUCUGCUGCCUGCUCCCCCACACCUUACUGCUUAGUACAUAAACAGAAAGGGGUACUUGUGCCUGGUUAUGAAAGCACUUGUGUAUUACUGGAGGGUGUUUCACUGACAUUAAUGAUGGCUGGUCAGGGAAGACAUGACGCUCAUGUCUUUAAGAAUACAGCACUUUCUGAAAAGAUGUAAGCAGGGAUGCUUAUCCUGUACCAGCACCACCACAUUAGCACUGCUAGAAUGCAGUGACAUUUGCCAGAGUACAAUCCAGACUGCUGGACAGCUAUGUUCCCUCAAUUCUCCAAGCCGGGGUGCCUUUUACACUGCUUUGCUUUGAGAGAAACCUCUCCUGGCCUGCUCACAGGCAACCUCUAGCAUGUAAAUUACUCCCAGCUGAGUUAUAGGUGUGUUCCUAUCCAGCCACUCCUGAAUUAUAUUCUAGAGCAAUACCGGCAAAUUCUCAGUACCAGACUUGUCCCCAGAAAUGUGCAUCUUGUACUGCUCAGCACCCUCUGCUGGGCAGUACAAGCUCACAGAAAAUGAAAUGACAGACUAACAGAAAAUGAUAUAUACAAACCCUCUUAUCUCACAUGGAGAGUCCAAACACUUCAAUCCAAACACACACAAACAUGUUUAUCAACUACAGAAAGAUAAAUUUUAAGUGAUUACAAAUAAUGAGGCAUAAAAGUCAGAAUUGGUUACAAAGAAAUAAAAGGUAAAACACAAACUAAUACCUAACUUAAAAAGCUAAGUGAACUUGAAGCAAAAAGGUUUU
Molecule: long non-coding RNA, 2854 nt
Organism: Caretta caretta (loggerhead turtle)
Lineage: Eukaryota; Metazoa; Chordata; Testudines; Cheloniidae
Source: RefSeq, a predicted model, not a curated record